RNAcentral lists this ribosomal RNA (449 nucleotides) under uncultured bacterium. RNAcentral's name for it is "partial 16S ribosomal RNA". It matches the Rfam family "Bacterial small subunit ribosomal RNA", at positions 29 to 523 of the family's 1533-position model. The record is from RNAcentral.
AACGAACGCUGGCGGCAUGCCUAACACAUGCAAGUUGAACGAGAUCUUCGGGUCUAGUGGCGCACGGGUGCGUAACGCGUGGGAAUCUGCCCUUUGGUUCGGAAUAACAGUUGGAAACGACUGCUAAUACCGGAUGAUGACGAAAGUCCAAAGAUUUAUCGCCAGAGGAUGAGCCCGCGUAGGAUUAGCUAGUUGGUGUGGUAAAGGCGCACCAAGGCGACGAUCCUUAGCUGGUCUGAGAGGAUGAUCAGCCACACUGGGACUGAGACACGGCCCAGACUCCUACGGGAGGCAGCAGUGGGGAAUAUUGGACAAUGGGCGAAAGCCUGAUCCAGCAAUGCCGCGUGAGUGAUGAAGGCCUUAGGGUUGUAAAGCUCUUUUACCCGGGAUGAUAAUGACAGUACCGGGAGAAUAAGCUCCGGCUAAUUCCGUGCCAGCAGCCGCCGUAA